This 713-nucleotide ribosomal RNA is filed under the name uncultured Lachnospiraceae bacterium. Its description in RNAcentral is "bacterial SSU rRNA". It matches the Rfam family "Bacterial small subunit ribosomal RNA", at positions 28 to 743 of the family's 1533-position model. Lineage: Bacteria; Bacillati; Bacillota; Clostridia; Lachnospirales; Lachnospiraceae. The record is from RNAcentral.
GAUGAACGCUGGCGGCGUGCCUAACACAUGCAAGUCGAACGAAGCACCUUACUUGAUUCUUCGGAUGAAGGUCUGGUGACUGAGUGGCGGACGGGUGGGUAACGCGUGGGUAACCUGCCCUGUACAGGGGGAUAACAGUUGGAAACGGCUGCUAAUACCGCAUAAGCGCACGAGAGGACAUCCUCUUGUGUGAAAAACUCCGGUGGUACAGGAUGGGCCCGCGUCUGAUUAGCUGGUUGGCAGGGUAACGGCCUACCAAGGCGACGAUCAGUAGCCGGUCUGAGAGGAUGAACGGCCACAUUGGAACUGAGACACGGUCCAAACUCCUGCGGGAGGCAGCAGUGGGGAAUAUUGCACAAUGGGGGAAACCCUGAUGCAGCAACGCCGCGUGAGUGAAGAAGUAUUUCGGUAUGUAAAGCUCUAUCAGCAGGGAAGAUAAUGACGGUACCUGACUAAGAAGCUCCGGCUAAAUACGUGCCAGCAGCCGCGGUAAUACGUAUGGAGCAAGCGUUAUCCGGAUUUACUGGGUGUAAAGGGUGCGUAGGUGGCAGUGCAAGUCAGAUGUGAAAGGCCGGGGCUCAACCCCGGAGCUGCAUUUGAAACUGCAUAGCUGGAGUACAGGAGAGGCAGGCGGAAUUCCUAGUGUAGCGGUGAAAUGCGUAGAUAUUAGGAGGAACACCAGUGGCGAAGGCGGCCUGCUGGACUGUUACUGA